GAACCAGAAAAUGAGCCAAAUAGUCAAAAUUAAUCGGCGCAUACCCCCUGAAAGCAAGAAGAACUGUU
RNAcentral lists this transfer RNA (68 nucleotides) under Proboscia alata. RNAcentral describes it as "partial Selenocysteine transfer RNA". Lineage: Eukaryota; Bacillariophyta; Melosirophyceae; Probosciales; Probosciaceae. The record is from RNAcentral.